This 1424-nucleotide long non-coding RNA is filed under the name Marmota monax (woodchuck). The record is from RNAcentral. Lineage: Eukaryota; Metazoa; Chordata; Mammalia; Rodentia; Sciuridae.
GAUGGAGGGAUAUUCAAAAAUAUGAGUAUAUAAGUUAAUUAUAAAUUUUACCAAUGAGAAGGAUAUAUAGUGCAUGAUUUAAAAUAAUAAUAAAAUAUCAAUAUUAUUUAUUAUAAAUUUCAUAAAGCCAGUUGAUUCUGAAUAUUUUCAUUGUUUUUGCCAAACUCCUCUGUCCACAGCCAGCCUGUGGUUUGAUGACAGGACUUGUAUCCCAAUCCACUAAUUUUUUCUCUACUAAAUUUAUUGUUAUUACUUCUUUGUGUGAAUCAUUGUCAUUCUUAUUCUCAUUCUUAUUGUAUUUAUCAAACUCCAACCUUUCAGCUUUAGCCCUGCUUUAUUAACUUUUUCUCCUUCAACUUCCUAAACAUAGACAUUGAAGGCAAUAAAUCCAGCCCUGGUCUGUGGUGUUCACCAAUUUCCCUGGUGUAAAUGCUGCUUGGAUUCCAAGUUACCAACUCAAUUCAGAUGUUGCUGAAUUCCUAGAAGAUGCCAUCACCUUAUGGAUACAACAAACCUGAACAACCUCAAGAUCAUAGAUAAAAGUAGAUAAGAAUAAUUAAAGACUGGCAAGUUUUGUGUAUUAUUACUCUACCUAUAAUAAUACCUGUAAUAAUGUAUCUGAUUGUAAGUACAUUUAAUUUAAUUUUUAAUAAUGGCUGGCUUUAACAACCAACUUGCAAAAUUCUUGAGACUCUCCCUAUUGCCUCUUGGGAGCCGGUACCAGUUGGCUGCAGGAUACCACUCAUGGUAGUAACUGGUGGGGUUUCAGUUCUGGAGACAGACAGGGAGCCAACGGUGCAGCUCUCUGAUAGAUGAGGAGUGGUCCCUUGGUUACAGUGGAGGCAGGGAGGAAGGGGUAGCCACAUGCCAGUGUACCUCAGAGAAGCGGGGAUUUGUUCGAGUGCCAGUUAGAAGCAGGGAUUUGUUGGAGUGUCACUUUCGCCUUCUCAGUGGUGGUCUUCGUGGCCACCAGACUAGUCUAGUUCUUAGCUUGCAAGGUUGGAUUACUGUCCUGCUUCUGGGUGAGUCAUCCCCUCUCCAGAUUCUCCCCUUGCUAGUCUACACUCACAUUCCAGAAUUGCUGAGGGCCAUUGCUAAGUAAGAAUGACACAUGGCAUGACCCAGGUCACUUACAGUGACAUUGCAUGUAAGGUGACCUUACUCAAGGACCGGGUUUAGGGCGGAUCCCGGUUUAGGGCGGAUAGGGUUUAGGGCAUUCCGCUUUAGGACAAUCGGGUUUAGGGCGGUUCCAGGUUUAAGGUGUAUCCUGCUGGGAAUAGGGCGUAUCCUGCUGCCUCAGGUGCGCCUGCUCCUUGAGUUCCCGUUGAGUUCUCCUGGGAUUCAGAGAGUAUUUGGGAUUUCGCCCAGAACGUGAAUUGGGCGGAGAACGUGGAUUCCCCCAGAAUGUGUUUGUAGAGUGCCAG